AACAUAUGAAAUUAAAACAUAAAAAUUUAUUCUAGAUUUAUAAAGUAAUGUUUAAUUUGUUGUCCAUUUGAUUUAAUGCGUCCUUUGCAAUUAAAAUCUUGGUUACAGGGUGUCUCAAGUAGAAACUAGGACGCCAACAUUAAUUAAUAACCUAUUUCCAAAAGAAGUCCAAAAUAUGUGAAUAGUUAUAACAUUGUUAAUUUAAAGCAAAGAAUUCAAACAACUAGAUAAUCGAUCCGCAAGCGAUUGAAAAAGUGCAAUUGGAACUUAUUCUUCGACUUCAAAAAUGUAUUGAAGUAAAUGGACAACGAAUUCAACACCCAACACAAACAACAUUGAUAACAAACAACAUUUGUUGCAACAAAUAUUGUAUAAUUUUUUAGCUUCUAAUGCCGUGUAUUUCAUUAAUCUAUUAAGUCAAAUUUGACAAACCGCUGACUCUAGGCAUAUAGUAUGCUAUACAAAAAGUAUUCAGAAUAUAAUAAUAAUAUAAUAAUAAA
This is a long non-coding RNA of Anthonomus grandis grandis, 500 nucleotides long. RefSeq lists it as uncharacterized. The record is from RefSeq and is a predicted model, not a curated record. The transcript has 2 exons. NCBI's taxonomy places the organism in Eukaryota, Metazoa, Arthropoda, Insecta, Coleoptera, Curculionidae.